UCAAGUUUAAAUUUAAAGGAAAGAGAGAGAGAAAGGGAGAGUAGAGAAAAAGAGAGAUUGAAUCAUGCAUAUAUUUACAGAGACAACAGCAACAACCAGUGCAAAAUACUCACUCUGAGAAGGGAGCGUCUCUGGAAUCAAUACCUGUGGCGGUGGAGGGGAGACAUAGAAUUGACCAGGAAGAAAUGUAGCUGUGAAGUAGGCUGGCAGCCCCAACCAAGCUCCCAGUACCAAACAAGUAUUGAUGACUGGACUGCUGCCAUCUGGAAGGAGAUCUCUGACUGCUAGCAUGCCCAUGUUUCCACCCUUGGCCAAGAAGAUUCAAGGCCUGAUCUCCAGUCCUCCCAUGGACAUAUACUCCAAUCCCAGCUUCACUUGAAUCUCCCACCACUCCAGGGCAGCAGGAGAUGACUAUUUCUGAGUGGUGGAG
Nyctereutes procyonoides (raccoon dog) is the source of this 430-nucleotide long non-coding RNA. RefSeq lists it as uncharacterized. The transcript is spliced from 4 exons. The record is from RefSeq and is a predicted model, not a curated record. NCBI's taxonomy places the organism in Eukaryota, Metazoa, Chordata, Mammalia, Carnivora, Canidae.